AUACGGAGGGUGCAAGCGUUACUCGGAAUCACUGGGCGUAAAGCGCGCGCAGGCGGUCUUUUAAGUUGGAUGUGAAAGCCUACGGCUCAACCGUAGAACUGCAUCCAAAACUAUUUAGCUAGAGUGUGGGAGAGGAAGAUGGAAUUAGUUGUGUAGGGGUAAAAUCCGUAGAGAUAACUAGGAAUACCAAAAGCGAAGGCAAUCUUCUGGAACACUACUGACGCUGAGGCGCGAAAGCGUGGGGAGCAAACGGGAUUAGAUACCCCAGUAGUCC
This 274-nucleotide ribosomal RNA is filed under the name uncultured bacterium. RNAcentral's name for it is "partial 16S ribosomal RNA". It matches the Rfam family "Bacterial small subunit ribosomal RNA", at positions 523 to 796 of the family's 1533-position model. The record is from RNAcentral.